Molecule: ribosomal RNA, 253 nt
Filed under: uncultured bacterium
Lineage: Bacteria
Description: partial 16S ribosomal RNA
Rfam family: Bacterial small subunit ribosomal RNA
Source: RNAcentral
UACGGAGGGGGUUAGCGUUGUUCGGAAUUACUGGGCGUAAAGCGCGCGUAGGCGGACCAGAAAGUUGGGGGUGAAAUCCCGGGGCUCAACCCCGGAACGGCCUCCAAAACUCCUGGUCUUGAGUUCGAGAGAGGUGAGCGGAAUUCCGAGUGUAGAGGUGAAAUUCGUAGAUAUUCGGAGGAACACCAGUGGCGAAGGCGGCUCACUGGCUCGAUACUGACGCUGAGGUGCGAAAGUGUGGGGAGCAAACAGG